AUCCUUUUGUAGUUCAUAAGCGUGAUGAUUGGGUUUUCAUGCUCAUGUGUGAGAUGUGCCUCCCUCAAACCUUGUUAUAACGUUGGCACAUUACCCGUCUGACG
Molecule: small nucleolar RNA, 104 nt
Filed under: Prolemur simus (greater bamboo lemur)
Lineage: Eukaryota; Metazoa; Chordata; Mammalia; Primates; Lemuridae
Description: Small nucleolar RNA U13 (ENSPSMG00000011276.1)
Rfam family: Small nucleolar RNA U13
Source: Rfam by way of RNAcentral